UUGUGACAGUCCUGGGUCCUCACGACAGACUAGCAGUGCCAGUGAGGCCAUCCACCUGCCCCUGGGUCUCCCACUACCCAUCCAUUCCCCAAGACUCCAGGCUGAAACCAAAGGAGCAGCUCGGAAGGAUGGCGGAGACGAGAGGGCAGAUAAAGCUUCAGGCUGUGUUGGCCUGUGCCCAGACUCCUGUCACCCGAACUGCCCUCACUCCUAUCCACCUGCACUCUCCCAAGCUACCCCUAUGGCACAGACUGCCUGUAGCCGUUUACCACUGCCAGCCCUUAAAAGUGGCCAGUCUAGAUACAUAUGGUGCCACAUGCUAUAUAGUCUUACAGUAAUCUCUGGAGAAAAAAAAAAACUCGACGGGAUUAAGGAGUGGCAGAAGUUCGAGGCUAGCCUACACCACACAGUAUACCCUGUUUCCGUGUCAGAAAACAAGCAGGCCUGGUGAUCUGAGUUGGAUUGCCAGGGAGAGAACCAACUCCACAGAGCUGUCCUCCAAACUCCACACGUCUGCCCUUGGGUACAAACACAAAGAAAUGAGAAUGGGCUGUGUAUAAUAGGCUGGAUGUGAGUGGGGUGGUGUUGGCGCACACCUUUCAUCCCAGCAGGAAGGAGGUAGAGGAAGGUGGGUCUCUGAGUUUGAGGCCAGCCUGGUCCACAGAGCAAGUUUCAGUAUAGCCAGGGCUACAUAGUGAAACCCUGUCUGGAAAAACCAAACAAAAAAACAGUAGGAUGGAUGUGUAGCUCACUGGUGGAGUCCUUGCCUGGUGUGUGCUGGGUCCCUUUCCAAUCUGCAUGUGUGAACACAGGUUUGGCUGUGUUGCCUCCUGAACUCAGUGGCUUUGUAUCUGAGGGGGCAGGUCACAUAUGGCCCCAGCAAACAUGGCACUCCAGGAAGUCCCUGCAGUCCUUCUGUCCAUGCUUUUCCUGUCACUCUUUAUCCCUCUGGAGCCCAGGGAGGACAGGGCUGGAGUGUCUUGCGUGGCUCUCACUCUGUGUUGUCCACCCCUUCGUCGGGUUUCCUAAGGAAAGGAGCGGUUCUUUGUGGGCAGAGCUAUCAUGGGAGGCCCAAGGCUGCACCUGGGCUGACCACCCACAGGUCGUCAAAGCCAGUGAGUCAGUCUACCAGUUUCUCAACAGAGGGGGGCUUCCUCCUCAGCCCAGCUUCCUCCCCAGCCUCUCCACUCCCACCCUUCCCCUAGUGGAAGCAGCAGGUGGCUGGAGCACUGAGGAUCAAGAGACAAAUGUACUCCUUCCCCUAGACUAGCAGUCCAGAGCUGCCUCAUGCUCUAGCCUUUCCCAGGACUGAGCAAACGGUCCCCAGGUCUGGACCAAGGUCCACACUGGCCUUUAUCACAUCUGCUCUAGCACCAAGUCUGAUGCUUAUAGCAGCAGCAGCAUCUUUAAAUGGGGAAACUGAGGCCCACAGGAGGCUCUUCUCUGAGGUCACAGAAAAAAUAAAGAGGAGUAGGUCUCAAGUGUCAGGCCUGCAGUGCUGGGGCCCCUCAGACCUCCUUGUCCCCAUUGUCCUGCCCUCUCCCCCCUCCACACACAGUGACUAUGAUGCUGAGGACAUUCUCAGUGUGGCUUUGGCCUGAGAUGGAUUCGUGUCUCUAGUGUCCUCUGCUGCAACUCAGCCUCAGUUUACUUAUUGUGAGCCCUGCUGCAGGCAGUGCCCAGCACCUUUGAAACCAGAUAGGAUGUUGCCAGCCUGUAACCCUGGAGCUCAGGAGUAGAAUCGGGAGGAUCAGAAGUUCAAGAUCCCCUUCAGGAACAUAGCAAGUUCGAGACCAGCCAGGUGUCUGUGAGAUCUUGUCUCAAAAACAAAACUCAACU
This 1839-nucleotide long non-coding RNA is filed under the name Mus musculus (house mouse). RNAcentral's name for it is "long non-coding RNA chr15:80048255-80050094". The record is from RNAcentral. Lineage: Eukaryota; Metazoa; Chordata; Mammalia; Rodentia; Muridae.